Molecule: ribosomal RNA, 700 nt
Filed under: uncultured bacterium
Lineage: Bacteria
Description: bacterial SSU rRNA
Rfam family: Bacterial small subunit ribosomal RNA
Source: RNAcentral
AGUGGCGGACGGGUGAGUAACACGUAAGAAUUUGCCUUUAGGAGGGGGACAACAACUGGAAACGGUUGCUAAUACCCCAUAUGCUUUCGAGUGAAAUGGAUUUUUCCGCCUAAAGAGAAGCUUGCGGCUGAUUAGCUUGUUGGUGAGGUAAUGGCUCACCAAGGCGACGAUCAGUAUCUGGUUUGAGAGGAUGAUCAGACACACUGGAACUGAGACACGGUCCAGACUCCUACGAGAGGCAGCAGUGGGGAAUUUUCCGCAAUGGGCGAAAGCCUGACGGAGCAAUCUCGCGUGAGGGAUGACGGCCUAUGGGUUGUAAACCUCUUUUUUCAGGGAGGAACAAAAUGACGUGUACCUGAAGAAUAAGCAUCGGCUAACUCCGUGCCAGCAGCCGCGGUAAGACGGAGGAUGCAAGUGUUAUCCGGAAUCACUGGGCGUAAAGCGUCUGUAGGUGGUUUAAUAAGUCAACUGUUAAAUCUUGAAGCUCAACUUCAAAAUCGCAGUCGAAACUAUUAGACUAGAGUAUAGUAGGGGUAAAGGGAAUUUCCAGUGGAGCGGUGAAAUGCGUAGAUAUUGGAAAGAACACCGAUGGCGAAGGCACUUUACUGGGCUAUUACUGACACUCAGAGACGAAAGCUAGGGUAGCAAAUGGGAUUAGAUACCCCAGUAGUCCUAGCCGUAAACAAUGGAUACUAGAUGU